This is a non-coding RNA of Solanum lycopersicum (tomato), 1379 nucleotides long. Lineage: Eukaryota; Viridiplantae; Streptophyta; Magnoliopsida; Solanales; Solanaceae. The record is from RefSeq and is a predicted model, not a curated record.
UUCAACAAGGCCCAGCAAAUUUCCAGUAUUUUAAUGGUCCACAAUAUCUAAUUUUCAUGCUGAAGACUAUUCUUCAGCUCUAAUGCCCUGCAAUUGGAAGCAUGGAGUGUACACAGUUUUAGAAUUCAAACAUAAGGUUACAACAACAGAAGAAGACUGUCAAAUCACAAAAUCAGCCCAAAAUAAUGGGAAAACAUAUUAGGACUUCAUCAGAGCUUGAAAUUCAGUUGGAAGAUCACAAAAUUAAAACAAAAUUUGAUUGGUCAGUCUGAUGGAUUUAUCUUCUAAUGAAGCAAUUUAGGAUUUUCUCAUCUAAAAAGCAAGCCGGUAGCAAGAUAUCUUUAGUUAUAUCGCAAAACAGUUUUUAGUAAAAGUUCUGUAGAUAAUGGUUUAGAUUUCUGUAAGAAUAGUGAAAUAGAUUAGUUUUAAUCGUUCAUUUCCAUUUAUAUGAUGACUCUCGCAUGAAAAUGAUGGAUCCAUUCAGAUCUUUCUUAUUCAUUUUCAAGAAGUUUUGACAUAUAAAGCUAGUUCUCGUUCUCGACAUCAGUAGGUUAACUACGUUUGCUUUGUUUAAUCACAGAACCAUAGCAUGUUUUAUGAAAUCUAGAGAAAAGAUGUACUCAUUGAUUGCCAGUACUUUCAUCUUGAUGUUAGUUUUACUUAAUGAUGCUUGAAGAGUAUACCUCUGGGGCGCUUAUGUAUCAUCAAAGGUAGUAUUCUUCUGUUUAUCCUCAAGAGAUUAAGUAGCUUAUCGUCAUCAAAAAGGAUAAAUCAGCUUAUAUUUUGUGCUGUGAAGUGUUAGUAAUGCCUUUAUUUAGUACAAGUUUUGCAGUAUUCAGUUGUUACCCUCAAUGGUUUUCACAAUUAGGGUAAAUGGUUGCGAAGGUUAGAAAGAUAGAAGCUAUUGAGUUGGGGGUUCUUAAAGAGAUGUAGAAAGAGUUACGGUAUCAGUUCAGGCUCAAGUUGGAAAAAAAAUAAAUAGGAAGGAAUAUUGGGCUGCAGCAUUGAUUGUGGGAAGUGAGUUGAGAAGAAAUCUUUUUACUACCAAAGGGAAAAUAACCAGUGAACAUUAAGCUUGCAUUUGGACAUGCGAUGUGAAGUCAUGAUUCAAAUCAACGUUUGUAUAUGCUAUUUUGAUCAUGAUUUCAUAUCCCCUAUUCUCCAAAAAACAUGAUUUGGGGAUUUUAAAUCAUGAUUUCAUUUUUUUAAAAUGUAGCACUUGGCCCAUAAGUGUAUAUUUUGUAAAAGAAAACAUGUCAUUUUAUAUUUUACAUAAAUGGACUCGUGCUCGGGGUGAAGAGAUUGUCGUACCAUGUGAAAUGAUUAUAUUAAAGAAUUACUAGUUACUACCUUUGUUGACUAGUGGGAACUUUAUAAAA